UACUGUAAAGUAGUAAUUAUUAAAACUGGUGAGAAAAUUACGGCCAAGAUUAAUGUGUUCGAUUCUAGGCGCAUUGCGCUCAUGCGCAGUCGGCUGCUGAUCACUGGCAGUCAGUGUCUAAACGUCACACAGGCC
Non-coding RNA from Caenorhabditis elegans, 135 nucleotides. The record is from Ensembl. Lineage: Eukaryota; Metazoa; Nematoda; Chromadorea; Rhabditida; Rhabditidae.